AUACGUAGGGGGCGAGCGUUGUCCGGAAUUACUGGGCGUAAAGGGCGCGUAGGCGGCCUGUUAAGUCAGGCGUGAAAACCCCGGGCUUAACCUGGGGACUGCGUUUGAAACUGGCGGGCUUGAGGGCAGGAGAGGAAAGUGGAAUUCCCGGUGUAGCGGUGAUAUGCGUAGAUACCGGGAGGAACACCAGUGGCGAAGGCGGCUUUCUGGACUGCACCUGACGCUGAGGCGCGAAAGCCAGGGGAGCGAACGGGAUUAGAUACCCCGGUAGUCCUGGCCGUAAACGAUGGGUACUAGGUGUGGGAGGUAUCGACUCCUUCCGUGCCGGAGUUAACACAAUAAGUACCCCGCCUGGGGAGUACGUUCGCAAGAAUGAA
Molecule: ribosomal RNA, 377 nt
Filed under: uncultured bacterium
Lineage: Bacteria
Description: bacterial SSU rRNA
Rfam family: Bacterial small subunit ribosomal RNA
Source: RNAcentral